UAGGGAAUUUUUUCACAAUGAGCGAAAGCUUGAUGGAGCAAUGCCGCGUGAACGAUGUAGGUCUUUAAGAUUGUAAAGUUCUUUUAUUUGGGAAGAAUGACUUUAGCAGGUAAUGGCUAGAGUUUGACUGUACCAUUUUGAAUAAGUGACGACUAACUAUGUGCCAGCAGUCGCGGUAAUACAUAGGUCGCAAGCGUUAUCCGGAUUUAUUGGGCGUAAAGCAAGCGCAGGCGGAUUGAAAAGUCUGGUGUUAAAGGCAGCUGCUUAACAGUUGUAUGCAUUGGAAACUAUUAAUCUAGAGUGUGGUAGGGAGUUUUGGAAUUUCAUGUGGAGCGGUGAAAUGCGUAGAUAUAUGAAGGAACACCAGUGGCGAAGGCGAAAACUUAGGCCAUUACUGACGCUUAGGCUUGAAAGUGUGGGGAGCAAAUAGGAUUAGAUACCCUAGUAGUCCACACCGUAAACGAUAGAUACUAGCUGUCGGGGCGAUCCCCUCGGUAGUGAAGUUAACACAUUAAGUAUCUCGCCUGGGUAGUACAUUCGCGAGAAUG
This 548-nucleotide ribosomal RNA is filed under the name uncultured bacterium. Its description in RNAcentral is "bacterial SSU rRNA". It matches the Rfam family "Bacterial small subunit ribosomal RNA", at positions 355 to 896 of the family's 1533-position model. The record is from RNAcentral.